GUUAAACGGCCGCGGUAUUUUGACCGUGCAAAGGUAGCGCAAUCACUUGUCUUUUAAAUGAAGACCUGUAUGAAUGGUGAAACGAGGGCUUAACUGUCUCCCCCAUCUAGUCAAUGAAAUUGAUCUACCCGUGCAGAAGCGGGUAUUACCAUACAAGACGAGAAGACCCUUUGGAGCUUAAGACAAAAGACCCACUAUGUCAAAAGUCCUGAAAAUGAAACUAAACCAAAUAGCACUGGCCCAAGUCUUCGGUUGGGGUGACCGCGGGAAAAAACACAACUCCCAUGUAGAAAGGGGUAACCCCCUAAAACUAAGAGAGACAUCUCUAAGGCACAGAAUAUCUGACUUCAAAGAUCCGGCUACAUGCCGAUCAACGGACCAAGUUACCCUAGGGAUAACAGCGCAAUCCCCUUCCAGAGUCCCUAUCGACAAGGGGGUUUACGACCUCGAUGUUGGAUCAGGACAUCCUAAUGGUG
This 476-nucleotide ribosomal RNA is filed under the name Hypoptopoma guentheri. Its description in RNAcentral is "LSU rRNA". It matches the Rfam family "Bacterial large subunit ribosomal RNA", at positions 1922 to 2555 of the family's 2925-position model. The record is from RNAcentral. Lineage: Eukaryota; Metazoa; Chordata; Actinopteri; Siluriformes; Loricariidae.